Molecule: ribosomal RNA, 320 nt
Filed under: uncultured eukaryote
Lineage: Eukaryota
Description: partial 18S ribosomal RNA
Rfam family: Eukaryotic small subunit ribosomal RNA
Source: RNAcentral
CCCCUAGAUGUUCUGGGCCGCACGCGCGCUACACUGAACAGUUCAACAAGUCUUAACCUUGGCCGAUAGGUCUGGGUAAUCUUUGAACGCUGUUCGUGAUUGGGAUAGACCUUUGCAAUUAUGGGUCUUCAACGAGGAAUUCCUAGUAAACGCAAGUCACCAGCUUGCAUUGAUUACGUCCCAGCCCUUUGUACACACCGCCCGUCGCACCUACCGAUUGAAUGGUCCGGUGAAAUCUCGGGACGGCGGCUUGGUCGCUUGCGUCCGACUGCUGAAACUUGAUUAAACCAUAUCAUUUAGAGGAAGGUGAAGUCGUAACA